UGGCAAGCACACGAAAAGUCUUGGUUGAAU
Molecule: non-coding RNA, 30 nt
Filed under: Rattus norvegicus (Norway rat)
Lineage: Eukaryota; Metazoa; Chordata; Mammalia; Rodentia; Muridae
Source: RNAcentral